UACGUAAGGAGCAAGCGUUAUCCGGAUUUACUGGGCGUAAAGGGAGCGUAGGCGGCCUGCCAAGUCUGAUGUGAAAUACCGGGGCUCAACCCCGGGGCUGCAUUGGAAACUGGCAGGCUGGAGUGCCGGAGAGGCAGGCGGAAUUCCUGGUGUAGCGGUGAAAUGCGUAGAUAUCAGGAGGAACAUCGGUGGCGAAAGCGCUUUACUGGACCAUUAUUGACGCUGAGGAACGAAAGCCAGGGGAGCAAAUGGG
This 253-nucleotide ribosomal RNA is filed under the name uncultured Lachnospiraceae bacterium. Its description in RNAcentral is "partial 16S ribosomal RNA". It matches the Rfam family "Bacterial small subunit ribosomal RNA", at positions 524 to 776 of the family's 1533-position model. Lineage: Bacteria; Bacillati; Bacillota; Clostridia; Lachnospirales; Lachnospiraceae. The record is from RNAcentral.